RNAcentral lists this ribosomal RNA (479 nucleotides) under Lumbricillus tuba. RNAcentral describes it as "partial 16S ribosomal RNA". It matches the Rfam family "Bacterial large subunit ribosomal RNA", at positions 1817 to 2597 of the family's 2925-position model. The record is from RNAcentral. Lineage: Eukaryota; Metazoa; Annelida; Clitellata; Enchytraeida; Enchytraeidae.
UGCUUUUUGCUAAUAUAUAAAAAGUAAUCUCCUGCCCAGUGAAUAUAUUUCAACGGCCGCGGUAUCCUAACCGUGCAAAGGUAGCAUAAUCACUUGCUCAUUAAUUGUGGGCUAGAAUGAACGGGGUAACGAAAUAAGCUCUGUGUCAAUAAGAUCAAUAAAAACUAUUCUCCAAGUGAAGAAACUUAGAUAUCGUUAAAAGACAAGAAGACCCUAUAGAGCUUUAUCUUUAAAUUAUACAAUAAUUAAACAGAUUCGGUUGGGGCGACCUAGGAAUUAAUCAUCCUGUAUUAAAAAGAUUUAUAUAUCUUUCAAAUGACCCUUAAAUAGAUCAAAAGAACAAGCUACCUUAGGGAUAACAGGCUAAUCCUAUUUUAGAGCUCUUAUCAACAAUAGGGAUUGGCACCUCGAUGUUGGCUUAGAAUAUCUCUAUGGCGCAGAUGUCAUAUAAAGAAGGUUUGUUCAACCUAUAAUAUUCU